RNAcentral lists this transfer RNA (75 nucleotides) under Bacillota bacterium. Its description in RNAcentral is "Firmicutes bacterium (anaerobic digester metagenome) tRNA-Lys". It matches the Rfam family "tRNA". Rfam says of the family: Transfer RNA (tRNA) molecules are approximately 80 nucleotides in length. Their secondary structure includes four short double-helical elements and three loops (D, anti-codon, and T loops). Lineage: Bacteria; Bacillati; Bacillota. The record is from RNAcentral.
GGGAUACUAGCUCAGGGGUAGAGCACCCGCCUUUUAAGCGGGGUGUCGAUGGUUCGAUUCCAUCGUAUCCCACCA